RNAcentral lists this ribosomal RNA (333 nucleotides) under Crassostrea brasiliana. Its description in RNAcentral is "partial 16S ribosomal RNA". It matches the Rfam family "Bacterial large subunit ribosomal RNA", at positions 1950 to 2519 of the family's 2925-position model. Lineage: Eukaryota; Metazoa; Mollusca; Bivalvia; Ostreida; Ostreidae. The record is from RNAcentral.
GCUAGGUAGCGAAAUUCCUUGCCUUUUAAUUGUAGGCCAGCAUGAAUGGUUUGACGAGGGCCUCACUGUCUCUUAGUUCUAUGUUGAAAUUGUAGUGUAGGUGAAGAUACCUUCAUAAAAAAGUAAGACAAAAAGACCCCGUGCAACUUUGAAAAUUAAGCUAGAUUAAAUGGCAAAAGAUUUUUAGGUGGGGCGCCAAAAGAGGAAACUAUAACCUCUGCUGUUUAAGCUAAUUCUUACUGGAGUUGACCUGACUUAAGUCGAUCAAAGGAGAAGUUACGCCGGGGAUAACAGGCCAAUUCUUUAGUAAAGCUCGUAUUAACUAAAGGGCUU